AAUUGAUCAGUAAUGAUCCAGGAGAUCUAUUAGGAGGAUUUAACAGGGACCCAAUGAAUUUUCAAUGUGCAACCAAAAUUAGAACUCAGGCUCUUGGUUUAAAUAUAGUGCAUGUAUGUGUUUGCUUUAAGGGAGCAGCUGUGGAAAGACAGAAGAUGAAAGCUCCCAUUCCAAAUUUGAUUCUCUUGUAUGCUACUCUAACUCAGAGCUUGAAGGUUGUGACCAAAAGAGGAUCAGGAAGCUCUCAGGUGUACAGAUGAAAAGUAGACAAUUGUGUUGAAGCAAUCUGCAAAUUCAUUUGAAGUAGCCCACUUCCACAAAUGACUUUUUCAUUCUUGGCAAAAAAAGGAAUGAUUUUUCCUGUCUUAAAUCAUUUGUAAUUCUAUUUGAAAUAUUUCCAACUGAUAAUUCCAGUUUUAAUUACAGAGUCACUUAGGUUGGAAGAGACUUAAGAUUAUAUAGUCCAACCCUGCUGGUUCAAGCAACGUCAGCUACAGCUUGCUCAGGAUUCAGUUCAGUUGACUUCAGGAUUGCUCUUUAAGGACUUUUUUUUUUUUUUUUUUUAAGUCCUCUGGACCUUCAAUUUGCCAGAUUAGAACAGGCCUAAAACUAUCUCUCAGGUAAUGAGUGCGUUGCCUCAUUUGUCUCCUAAUCAUGAUGUGUUCACAAUCAUACUUCUGAGUUGCUAUAUGGAGUUGCAGCAUACACCUAGAGACGGUAGUUAGGUUUCAAAAUUUGACUUACCUGGAAGUAAUGUUAAUUAAGUUUGCUUGGCACCUGUUCAAGAUUUUCCAUUUCUUUCACAGUAAGAUUACUUAUUUUCUUUGCAAUUACAAAUGUAUUUGAACUAUAUUUAAACUUAAGCUAAAAAUGGAGUCCUGUUAAAGUACAUGGAAAAAUGAAUGUACAUUUUAUGUUUUACCAUUCUCUUGUCACCUCACUUUUAACCAUAGUUAAUACCCUUGGUAAUGUGAGAAUCAUUGUAGUCUCUUAUAGGAAAAAAAAUCCUAAUGCUAAGCAUGCUACUUUCAUGCACGUUUAUAUACUUCACUAUGAUCUUUUCUUUAAUGAUGUUUGUGGCAGUAGGUAGAAUAAAG
This 1097-nucleotide long non-coding RNA is filed under the name Anser brachyrhynchus (Pink-footed goose). RNAcentral's name for it is "lncRNA (ENSABRG00000008547.1)". Lineage: Eukaryota; Metazoa; Chordata; Aves; Anseriformes; Anatidae. The record is from RNAcentral.